CAGUAGCCGCGGGAAUACGGAGGGGGCUAGCGCUGUUCGGAAUUACUGGGCGUAAAGCGCACGUAGGCGGCUUGGUAAGUUAGAGGUGAAAGCCUGGAGCUCAACUCCAGAAUUGCCUUUAAGACUGCCGAGCUAGCAGGUGAGAGAGGUAAGUGGAAUUCCGAGUGUAGAGGUGAAAUUCGUAGAUAUUCGGAAGAACACCGGUGGCGAAGGCGGCUUACUGGCUCAUACUGGACGCUGAGGUGCGAAAGCGUGGGGAGCGAACAGGAUUAGAUACCCCCGUAGUCCCUGUCUCUUAUAC
Molecule: ribosomal RNA, 301 nt
Filed under: uncultured bacterium
Lineage: Bacteria
Description: partial 16S ribosomal RNA
Rfam family: Bacterial small subunit ribosomal RNA
Source: RNAcentral